GCCGGGAGUGGUGGCUCACACCUGUAGUCCUAGAACUUUGGGAGGCUGAGGCAGGUGGAUCACCUGAGGUCAGGAGUUCAAGAACAGCCUGACCAACAUGGUGAAAUCCUGUCUCUA
Molecule: unclassified non-coding RNA, 117 nt
Organism: Macaca fascicularis (crab-eating macaque)
Lineage: Eukaryota; Metazoa; Chordata; Mammalia; Primates; Cercopithecidae
Rfam family: Metazoan signal recognition particle RNA
About the family: The signal recognition particle (SRP) is a universally conserved ribonucleoprotein. It is involved in the co-translational targeting of proteins to membranes. The eukaryotic SRP consists of a 300-nucleotide 7S RNA and six proteins: SRPs 72, 68, 54, 19, 14, and 9.
Source: Ensembl